UCCUCGAGAGUGGCGAACGGGUGAGUAAUACAUCGGAACGUGCCCAGUCGUGGGGGAUAACGUAGCGAAAGCUACGCUAAUACCGCAUACGACCCGAGGGUGAAAGCGGGGGACUCGCAAGAGCCUCGCGCGAUUGGAGCGGCCGAUGGCAGAUUAGGUAGUUGGUGGGGUAAAGGCCCACCAAGCCUGCGAUCUGUAGCUGGUCUGAGAGGACGACCAGCCACACUGGGACUGAGACACGGCCCAGACUUCUACGGGAGGCAGCAGUGGGGAAUUUUGGACAAUGGGCGAAAGCCUGAUCCAGCCAUACCGCGUGCGGGAAGAAGGCCUUCGGGUUGUAAACCGCUUUUGUCAGGGAAGAAAUACUUCGGGCUAAUACCCUGGGGUGAUGACGGUACCUGAAGAAUAAGCACCGGCUAACUACGUGCCAGCAGCCGCGGUAAUACGUAGGGUGCAAGCGUUAAUCGGAAUUACUGGGCGUAAAGCGUGCGCAGGCGGUUCUAUAAGACAGAUGUGAAAUCCCCGGGCUCAACCUGGGAACUGCAUUUGUGACUGUAGAGCUAGAGUACGGUAGAGGGGGAUGGAAUUCCGCGUGUAG
Molecule: ribosomal RNA, 598 nt
Filed under: uncultured bacterium
Lineage: Bacteria
Description: bacterial SSU rRNA
Rfam family: Bacterial small subunit ribosomal RNA
Source: RNAcentral